CAAAAUUAACAAAAUUGCAAAAUUCAAAGUAUUUCCAAAUUUUUGAGUUUUACACAUUCUUAUCAUUAAAUUAUUAGUUUAUUGUCAAAACCACUUAGCAAACAAUGCAUUGGAUUAAAUAUUACAAUAGAACACUUCAGAAAAGUUCUGCUUACAACCUUUCAUGAUGAUGAGAAACUAUUUUGCGCUGUUACAGGCUUUAGUAAAACAGAAUGGCAAGCUGUAUGUCAAAAGACAAAAAUCAAAGCAAUUGACAUUUGAUAAUUGUCUGGAGAGACAUUUGAAGGCAGACACACCUUUGGUUCCGAGUACUAUUAUUCAG
Macrosteles quadrilineatus (aster leafhopper) is the source of this 322-nucleotide long non-coding RNA. RefSeq lists it as uncharacterized. The record is from RefSeq and is a predicted model, not a curated record. NCBI's taxonomy places the organism in Eukaryota, Metazoa, Arthropoda, Insecta, Hemiptera, Cicadellidae. The transcript is spliced from 3 exons.